CUCGUAGGCGGCCAACUAAGUCAGACGUGAAAUCCCUCAGCUUAACUGGGGAACUGCGUCUGAGACUGGAUGGCUGGAAUCCGGGAGAGGGAUGCGGAAUUCCAGGUGUAGCGGUGAAAUGCGUAGAUAUCUGGAGGAACACCGGUGGCGAAGGCGGCAUCCUGGACCGGUAUUGACGCUGAGGAGCGAAAGCCAGGGAGCAAACG
Molecule: ribosomal RNA, 206 nt
Filed under: uncultured bacterium
Lineage: Bacteria
Description: partial 16S ribosomal RNA
Rfam family: Bacterial small subunit ribosomal RNA
Source: RNAcentral